Non-coding RNA from Leptosomus discolor (cuckoo roller), 225 nucleotides. NCBI's taxonomy places the organism in Eukaryota, Metazoa, Chordata, Aves, Leptosomiformes, Leptosomidae. The record is from Rfam.
ACAGCUUUGGACAAAAGUCUAUAGCCAGUGCAUUCGUAACUCCCCAUGCACAAGAGCUGACUGUGGCUCUGGGAAGACAUUUUACUCAUUUGAUUUCUUUUUUCUUGUAGUCGUCUUGUCCAGUUCUCAGGUGUUUACCACCUAUUAGAAUUUCACCUGUAUGGUCCUGUGUUUGAGACAGUCCCAGGACUUGUCAGCUGUAUAGGCCUCAUAAAAGACAGCUCU